UACGUAGGGUGCGAGCGUUGUCCGGCAUUACUGGGCGUACAGAGCUCGUAGGUGGUUUGUCGCGUUGUCCGUGAAAACUCACAGCUUAACUGUGGGCGUGCGGGCGAUACGGGCAGACUGGAGUACUGCAGGGGAGACUGGAAUUCCUGGUGUAGCGGUGGAAUGCGCAGAUAUCAGGAGGAACACCGGUGGCGAAGGUGGGUCUCUGGGCAGUAACUGACGCUGAGGAGCGAAAGCGUGGGGAGCGAACAGG
RNAcentral lists this ribosomal RNA (253 nucleotides) under uncultured bacterium. RNAcentral's name for it is "partial 16S ribosomal RNA". It matches the Rfam family "Bacterial small subunit ribosomal RNA", at positions 524 to 776 of the family's 1533-position model. The record is from RNAcentral.